AAAAGGGGCAGGAGAUCUUAGGCAAAAACUUCUUACACCUGGCUUCUACUUUGACUGUUCUGUGAACUAUUUCCAGGUCUUUGCUCAAAUCCAGGAGGGGGAAUGCUAAUGCAGAGUCUCUGGGUUGGCUCAUGUGUUUGGUGUUGAGGCCACCAGUCCAAACCAGGAAAGCCCCAGCUCUGGCCGUUUCUUCCACGUGGCAAUGAGAUCUGUGGGUGUUCCUAUGGGUCGGAGAGGAACAGAGCCCUACUGUGGAAAGAAAUUUUUCUUUCAUGCCCAGUUUUUUGAAGGGCACUUCAGGUGAAGGCCAGGAAAACACUGAAAUUUGGUAAGGGUUAGUUUUGUGGUUUGAAUGGCUCUGUCUUUUUUUUAAUACUUCGCUAGUAUAU
Long non-coding RNA from Struthio camelus australis, 389 nucleotides. The record is from Ensembl. Lineage: Eukaryota; Metazoa; Chordata; Aves; Struthioniformes; Struthionidae.